Molecule: long non-coding RNA, 1312 nt
Filed under: Struthio camelus australis
Lineage: Eukaryota; Metazoa; Chordata; Aves; Struthioniformes; Struthionidae
Description: lncRNA (ENSSCUG00000003854.1)
Source: RNAcentral
UGGCAGUGCUGGCAGCAAGCUCCCCUCGUGCCGUGGGGUCCUGCAAGGCUGCUCUCCCCAGACCUGUGAUGUUCACAGACUAGAAAAGCAGCACUCGCUUCACUCCCAGGAAUGGAUAAAUAUGUCUCAGGCAGCUUUCCUGAGAGUCAGCUUGCAUUAAGUUACUGCUGCGGUGUAGAUAAAGGGUUGAGACAACGGCUUGGCGUCCACAUAAAACAAGUUUUUAUUGAACACGACCCACACGUUCUUGCAAGAGGGAACAGUCCUUGCCCUUGGAAGAUGCGAACAGCUGGAAUAUGGGUAAUUUUCUGACCAUAAAAACUUCAUUUUACUUUUACUGCUAUUGAAAAGCCCCAGAUAGGUGCUUUUCUCAUCCAUUUGAUUAAUCCGAGGUUAGAGGCCAUCGCAGCAACAAUUACAGAGCUGUGUACCUUUGUGCAUGUGGUAGCAGUGCAUCUCACCCUCUCGGCAAAAGAAAAUCAAAGGCAGAGUGUUGCUAGUGCUCAGAAACAAAGAAUACCCUCUCUUUUUCAUCUGACACUCCAGUGCCGGCUUGCUACGCCCACUUAGGCUCCUUUCAGCUCCCAACAUGCUUCCUCCCCGUUGCCUAGCAAUCCUAACAAUAUUUUAUGAGGCCUUAUUCCAGAGGUACCUUUUGCUAAUAUGGAAUUUGAGCUUGAAGCUCCAGGAGCAGCGUGGAGGAGGCCUGAGAUAACAUGCCUCCAAUUUAUUAUAGCCAGGGGAUGGCAGGAAAAAAAAAAAAGCCGAAUAAUCAUGAUGGGCAUCUUAGCAAUAAGGUCUUAAAUUGUAUCCCAACAAGCGAGCACGACGCCGGAGGAGGCCUCCGUCCCGCUCACCAGCUCCAGCGACGGUGAUCUGCUGCAACGGUUUCUGAGCAAGAAGAAACGAUGAGUAAAAACAACUUCUGGCUGAGCGAAGGAGAAAGGCGAGAGGGGGACGAAAUGCCGCAUUCGGUGCAGCCGGCUUUUACCAUCCGGAGGUUGGGCACCUCCGAGGAGGCGAGUGAAGCCCCUUGUCGCCCACGGCCGCUCCGGGGAGCGAUUCGCCCUGCGGUGAGGUAGCUGGCUUGGCUUUAAGUGGGCUCUCCCAGAUCAGCCUCGUUGGUAAGGCCAAAAACUCCAUGGGCCCCAAAGAGCACCUGCUGGUGGGCCUUAGCAGGGCGAGAGGAGGUCCGCGGGAGCUGCGCCGGGCAAGGGGGGGCCCUGGGGACCGCCUGGGGAAGCUGGACCAGAGCUUCUUCUAGCGAUACCUCCUCUGAGAAGGACGACGUGCCAUAAAUAUGAAGAUACUU